GCGCUCGUAGCUCAGCUGGAUAGAGCAACGGCCUUCUAAGCCGUAGGUCAAAGGUUCGAAUCCUUUCGGGCGCGCCA
RNAcentral lists this transfer RNA (77 nucleotides) under Helicobacter saguini. Its description in RNAcentral is "tRNA-Arg". It matches the Rfam family "tRNA". Rfam says of the family: Transfer RNA (tRNA) molecules are approximately 80 nucleotides in length. Their secondary structure includes four short double-helical elements and three loops (D, anti-codon, and T loops). Lineage: Bacteria; Pseudomonadati; Campylobacterota; Epsilonproteobacteria; Campylobacterales; Helicobacteraceae. The record is from RNAcentral.